UACGGGGGGAGCAAGCGUUGUUCGGAUUUACUGGGCGUAAAGGGCGCGUAGGCGGUCAGCACAAGUCAGUUGUGAAAUCUCCGGGCUUAACUCGGAAAGGUCAACUGAUACUGUGCGACUAGAGUGCAGAAGGGGCAACUGGAAUUCUUGGUGUAGCGGUGAAAUGUGUAGAGAUCGGGAGGAACACCGGUGGCGAAGGCGGGUCUCUGGGCAUUCCCUGACGCUGAGGCGCGAAAGCGUGGGGAGCAAACGGG
This 254-nucleotide ribosomal RNA is filed under the name uncultured bacterium. Its description in RNAcentral is "partial 16S ribosomal RNA". It matches the Rfam family "Bacterial small subunit ribosomal RNA", at positions 524 to 776 of the family's 1533-position model. The record is from RNAcentral.